This 627-nucleotide ribosomal RNA is filed under the name Ciliophora sp. RNAcentral's name for it is "SSU rRNA". It matches the Rfam family "Eukaryotic small subunit ribosomal RNA", at positions 341 to 980 of the family's 1831-position model. Lineage: Eukaryota; Ciliophora. The record is from RNAcentral.
CUACCAUGGCGUUUACGGGUAACGGAGGAUUAGGGUUCGAUUCCGGAGAGGGAGCCUGAGAAACGGCUACCACAUCCAAGGAAGGCAGCAGGCGCGUAAAUUACCCAAUCCUGACUCAGGGAGGUAGUGACAAGAAAUAACGGACCGAGGCCCUCGGGCUUCGGGAUUGCAAUGAGCCGAAUUUACACCCCUUAGCGAGGAUCGAUUGGAGGGCAAGUCUGGUGCCAGCAGCCGCGGUAAUUCCAGCUCCAAUAGCGUAUAUUAAAGUUGUUGCAGUUAAAAAGCUCGUAGUUGGAUUUCUGGGAGGGUGCCAAUGUCCGCCGACCGUGCGUGCGCAGCGGCGCCCUUCCAUCCUUCUGUUAACGCCUCUCGGCAUUCAUUUGCUGGUGGCGGGCUCAGAUAUUUUACCUUGAGAAAAUUAGAGUGUUUCAGGCAGGCUAGGCCGGAAUACAUUAGCAUGGAAUAAUGGAAUAGGACUACGGUCUCUUUGUUGGUUUGAGGGACUGCAGUAAUGAUUAAUAGGGAUAGUUGGGGGCAUUAGUAUUUAAUUGUCAGAGGUGGAAUUCUCGGAUUUGUUAAAGACUAACUUAUGCGAAAGCAUUUGCCAAGGAUGUUUUCAUUAAUCAA